RNAcentral lists this ribosomal RNA (253 nucleotides) under uncultured bacterium. RNAcentral's name for it is "partial 16S ribosomal RNA". It matches the Rfam family "Bacterial small subunit ribosomal RNA", at positions 524 to 776 of the family's 1533-position model. The record is from RNAcentral.
UACAGAGGAUGCAAGCGUUAUCCGGAAUUAUUGGGCGUAAAGCGUCUGUAGGUGGCUUUUUAAGUCCGCCGUCAAAUCCCAGGGCUCAACUCUGGACAGGCGGUGGAAACUACCAAGCUGGAGUACGGUAGGGGCAGAGGGAAUUUCCGGUGGAGCGGUGAAAUGCGCAGAGAUCGGAAAGAACACUAACGGCGAAAGCACUCUGCUGGGCCGACACUGACACUGAGAGACGAAAGCUAGGGGAGCGAAUGGG